Zophobas morio is the source of this 2318-nucleotide long non-coding RNA. RefSeq lists it as uncharacterized. NCBI's taxonomy places the organism in Eukaryota, Metazoa, Arthropoda, Insecta, Coleoptera, Tenebrionidae. The transcript has 4 exons. The record is from RefSeq and is a predicted model, not a curated record.
GUAUAAGUAAUUAUUUUCAUCUUUAGUACACUUUUGUCACACAAAUUCAUACAAAACAACUUUCAGGUUCACAACUCAAGCUAAAGUUAAAUUAAUUGUCGUUGUUUUAAGAUUAUCAAAUUGUGAUUCAAAUACCGGAAGAAAGAAAAACAAAUCUAAGAAACAAUUUCAUGGUGAUACUAUUAACUGUAAAGUACCCAUGAAAAAAAUCUAAAGAAUGCGAUAUCAAAAGUUACUUUAUAUCAAAUAAUACAUUUCAUGCAUAGUAACAUUUGAUCUUAUAAUUACAUGUUUCGGAAUAAUGAGCUUCAUAUCUAUCAUUUCAAGUACAAUUUUUGUUUUUGGAAAUGAAAUUCCAAGUGAUUAGAAAAUAAAACAGAAGCUCAAAAAUGUAUGGAAACGAUGCAUGACGUUCCAAGAUAUUAAUUCCUAAAAUUUAAAGCACACCCUUAAGCAAAUAUCCAGAUUGGCUCCAUAAGUAGAAAAAUAAUUUAAGAGAUUAACAAAAACUUGUACUGCUAAUUGUAGAAGUGCCUGUACACACAACCAUAAAAGUAAAUUUCUUACUCCAACUUAAACUGGUAUUUUAAAAUUGACAUGUACGCCUUUCUUGGAGAAAUAUAAAAAGAGAGGUUAAAAGCUGCUAAAAAAUAGUAAUGUUUCUUUUUUCGAAAUCGCGCAGUAAUGUGCUUUUUCUAUGUUCAAAAAUCGGCACAGAAAUUAAAUGCGGUGUUGUCAUAUUAGUAUUAUCUACCUCCACAAUUACAUUUUACAAGGUUAUAAAUUGUUUUUCGGUUUAGCAGUAAUUCUAUACUCUUUGUUAACCCUUUUUAUUAGUUAUUAGAAACACAUCCGGUUUAUUAAUUUUAUAAAUAUAAUUUAUUAACUAAAUUUGCGCGUAAUCUCGCAACGUCGCAACCUUGCAUGGCAACAGCGGAUUUCUUGAAGUGCAGCGACAUUCUAUGGCAGCGAACAAUGUGUAUCCACAUAACCUGUAAUAAGUUUUUGUUCGGUGCAGAAACAACCAUGGAAAACAUUAUAUGGAGAAUAUCUCAUUUUGCAUACGAGUAUUUCGCUGAAAAAGAAAAUUCUGUGAAAUCAACAUUUUGGGCUACAUAGUCGUUGUUAAAGUCAACUCUGUUAAUAUAAAACAGCAUAGAUAUAAUCUAAGUACACCAAGUUCUCAAGCAAAAAAUAUAGGUUAUGUUUCCCAGAAAUCAAAUAUAUUUACAAGAGAAAACUUACGAAAAUUUUUAACAGAGGCCCGUGAUUAAUGUACCUAAUGUCAAAGGUAUAUUUUUUAUUCGAAGUUGUAGGAGUAUGCGGAAUGGAAGAAUUUGAACAAUUUUCUUGUAUCUACAUAACCUAUAAUAAGCUUUUAUUAUUAUUACAGAACAGAUUAUUAGCUUACAUGCCCAUUUUAAAUGAAAAAAGAUCUGUAGCAAUUGCAAAAUAGAGAUGGAUAGCAAUAAUAACAAGCAGUUUACAUGCAUUCGACCGAACUUGCAAAAACUGGCAGAUAAUAUAUCAAAUUUAUUACCUAAAAACUCAGCCACAGUUUAUGAAAAGCGGUAUGAAUUUUUUUUUGCGCAGAAACAACCAUGCAAAAUAUAUGGAGAACACCUCAUUGCAUACGAGUAUUUCGCUGAAAAAGCAAAUUCUGUGAAAUCUUUAACACUUUGGGCUGCAUAGUCGUAGUUAAAGUCAACUCUGUUAAUAAAAAACAGCAUAGAUAUAUCUAAGUACACCAAGUUUUCAAGCAAAAAAUAUAGGUUACAUUGCCAAGAAAUCAAAUAUAUUUACAAGAGAAGACUUACCAAAAUUUUUAACAGAAGCCCGUGAUUAAAUGUACCUGAUGUUAAAGGUUUAUUUUUUAUUAGAAGUUGUAGGAGCAUGUGGAAUGGAUAAAUUGAAAAAUAAUGACGGCAUUCAAGACAAAAACGAUACGCUAAUAAUUAAAAUUCCAACGUCUAAAACUGGCAAAGCACGAGAAUUUACAAAUAUGUGUAAAAAUAUUUAUCCAAUUGAAAUAUAGUAAAAAUACCUAAUUUUAAGACUGCACCAGACAAAUCAUUAUUUAUACAUUACAUUUGGAUAGUGAAUGCAGCAGCUGCUGCAUUGUACAAAUAUACCUGCAAACACACUGUAACAAAUUAUGCAGACACCUCUUUUGACUAAAAGAUAUAUAUUUAACUUUAUCCAUACGUUGUCAACUUUGUUAAUAAUUGCAAUCUCUAACUUCAUAAGAAAUAUGAAUAAUCUACUUUGGUGUUUUAUAGUAGUAUUAAAUGUUCAUUGAAUAUAAUUGCAUUUACUAC